AAUGAGUUCAUGUUGUAUUUUUUACCUGUGUUUAGUGUCGAUGAAUUGAAGAGUGACUGUAUCCAUAGCAACCAGCAGGUGGAGCAGCAACCAUGUAGUUUUUUGGGGGGAAAUUCAUCACAGUGUGAACGAGAUCUGAGAGAAAUCAGAGGGUUCGGUCGCUUUAUAAGACGUUCCAGUGUUUAGUUAUAAUGUUGUUGAUUUCUCGUCCAAUGGGAGACAGUUCAGUGGACAAACCGCCGCCCUCUGAUCAGCUGUCCAGAUGUGCGUCUCCUGGCAGCUUCUGUCCAGUCAUUUCUACUGUAUUACACUCAGACUCCUCAUCUGUGCUGCAGUUUCCUCUCAGUCACAGAAACUUUCCUGUUGGAACGUUUUGAUCAGUUGUUGUCCUGUUUCUGCUUCAUGGUUUGCUGUAAAUGCUGCUGUCUGAACCUGCAUGUUGGUUGUUGUACAUUGUCAAAUCUAGAAAACUGACUUUCUCUUUGGAUUGUUCACUCUGAAACGCAGGUAUUGUGUGGUAGAGUUGAUGUAAUCCACAAAGUCAUUCAACUCAUCCGUAUCAAAGAAUCUUUUCCAUAAUGAAAUCUUGGAGAGGAAAGGCUUGUUAGCUGAAUUAUGAAUGAAACUCCAUCACUCAGCUCACAUAUGGAAGGAACUCCCCAUGUUCACACCUCUCCUCUGCAGAUAAUAAGCUUCUGCAUGUUGGAAAUCAUUUUUAGAUAGGAUUAUUUCUGUGAGCGUCAACAGAAAUUCAUCAGGCAGUAGCAGCUCAGUAGGGCGUGUUUCUAAAUAAUAUAACAGUGCUUCAAUGCUACAGCGUGAUGGAUACAGGUGUACAGACUCUGGACAUCACAUGUUACAAGAAUGAAAUCUUUGUCACCCUUAAAAGAAUCCAACAGUUUAAAAUAUCUGUUGUGUCUCUAAAUAGUUUAGUAAAUGUCUUAACAAUAGAAAGAGACAGCUGAUACUGGAUAUGAUAGGUCUGAGGGGCAGAUUAAUCAGUGGUUUGUGGACUUUAGGAAGCAAAAGGACAAAUUUAGGAGAAAUUGGAUGUUGUACAGUCAAAAAGUCUUUUUCUGUGUCUACUAUUCAAACCUGUUGAAGCCCUGCAGCCUCCAGGACCUGAUCUACCUCAGUUUGAUAUUCAUCCACAGGGUCACUGUUUAGGGGCUGUAGAGUCAACAAUUAUCAAUGAUGACAAUGUUUGUUUUAAUGUCUAAAUCUACCAACAGUUGGUGAAUGGUGAGUGUUAAUUUUGGACCCUGUUCCCAGUACAACCAGUCUGACCUGCUGCCACUGGAGCAGUUGGGGUUAAGUGUAAACAUCUCAAUCAACUCUGGAAACUUCUGGGAGGCCAUGAAGAAGACUGAUGUUAGUCCAUCCUGUUCUGCUGGUGUUACUUACCUGACCCCCCUUUAGUACAGCUCAAGGGCUCCACCUAGUGGCAGCCCCCCCUCCACACAGAGAGGAAACCAGGAGCCCUCUGAGCUGAAGUCCUGGUCUGGAUCAUUGUGGUUUUAAUCACAAGUUCUGUGAUGUUCUGGUUUGAUUUUGUUGUUAUUUGAGGUCUGGACUUGGAUUCAUGGUACAGGAAUAUAUGCAUAGAUUGACUAAUGAACAUGCUGUAUUAUAUUAUAUAUAUCAUAUAUAUUACUGAAUGUUAAUGGUCUAAACAAUCCCAUCAAAAGUUAAAACAGGAGAAAAUCAA
Long non-coding RNA from Thunnus maccoyii (southern bluefin tuna), 1708 nucleotides. RefSeq lists it as uncharacterized. The transcript has 2 exons. The record is from RefSeq and is a predicted model, not a curated record. NCBI's taxonomy places the organism in Eukaryota, Metazoa, Chordata, Actinopteri, Scombriformes, Scombridae.